RNAcentral lists this ribosomal RNA (495 nucleotides) under uncultured bacterium. Its description in RNAcentral is "SSU rRNA". It matches the Rfam family "Bacterial small subunit ribosomal RNA", at positions 26 to 518 of the family's 1533-position model. The record is from RNAcentral.
AGAUUGAACGCUGGCGGCGUGCCUAACACAUGCAAGUCGAGCGGUAACAGGUGUAGCAAUACAUGCUGACGAGCGGCGAACGGGUGAGUAAUGCUUUGGAAUCUUCCCAGUAGUGGGGAAUAACCAGUCGAAAGAUUGGCUAAUACCGCAUACGUCUGUAAAGGGAAAGCGGGGGCUCGUAAGACCUCGCGCUAUUGGAUGAGCCAAAGUCGGAUUAGCUAGUUGGUGGGUAACGGCCUACCAAGGCGACAAUCCGUAGCUGGUCUGAGAGGACGACCAGCCACACCGGAACUGAGACACGGUCCGGACUCCUACGGGAGGCAGCAGUGGGGAAUAUUGGACAAUGGGGGAAACCCUGAUCCAGCGACGCCGCGUGUGUGAAGAAGGCCUGCGGGUUGUAAAGCACUUUUAGUGGGGACAAAAGCUACGGAUUAAUACUCUGUGGUCUUGAUUUAACCCAAGAGAAGCACCGGCUAACUCUGUGCCAGCAGCCGC